RNAcentral lists this ribosomal RNA (921 nucleotides) under uncultured Bacteroidota bacterium. RNAcentral's name for it is "bacterial SSU rRNA". It matches the Rfam family "Bacterial small subunit ribosomal RNA", at positions 1 to 916 of the family's 1533-position model. The record is from RNAcentral. Lineage: Bacteria; Pseudomonadati; Bacteroidota.
GGAUCCAGACUUUGAUUAUGGCUCAGGAUGAACGCUAGCUACAGGCUUAACACAUGCAAGUCGAGGGGCAGCAUGAACUUAGCUUGCUAAGUUUGAUGGCGACCGGCGCACGGGUGAGUAACACGUAUCCAACCUGCCGAUGACUCGGGGAUAGCCUUUCGAAAGAAAGAUUAAUACCCGAUGGCAUAGUUCUUCCGCAUGGUGGAACUAUUAAAGAAUUUCGGUCAUCGAUGGGGAUGCGUUCCAUUAGGUUGUUGGCGGGGUAACGGCCCACCAAGCCUUCGAUGGAUAGGGGUUCUGAGAGGAAGGUCCCCCACAUUGGAACUGAGACACGGUCCAAACUCCUACGGGAGGCAGCAGUGAGGAAUAUUGGUCAAUGGACGAGAGUCUGAACCAGCCAAGUAGCGUGAAGGAUGACUGCCCUAUGGGUUGUAAACUUCUUUUAUACGGGAAUAAAGUGAGGCACGCGUGCCUUUUUGUAUGUACCGUAUGAAUAAGGAUCGGCUAACUCCGUGCCAGCAGCCGCGGUAAUACGGAGGAUCCGAGCGUUAUCCGGAUUUAUUGGGUUUAAAGGGAGCGUAGGCGGACGCUUAAGUCAGUUGUGAAAGUUUGCGGCUCAACCGUAAAAUUGCAGUUGAUACUGGGUGUCUUGAGUACAGUAGAGGCAGGCGGAAUUCGUGGUGUAGCGGUGAAAUGCUUAGAUAUCACGAAGAACUCCGAUUGCGAAGGCAGCUUGCUGGACUGUAACUGACGCUGAUGCUCGAAAGUGUGGGUAUCAAACAGGAUUAGAUACCCUGGUAGUCCACACAGUAAACGAUGAAUACUCGCUGUUUGCGAUAUACAGUAAGCGGCCAAGCGAAAGCGUUAAGUAUUCCACCUGGGGAGUACGCCGGCAACGGUGCAACUCAAAUGAAUUGACGG